CUCAACAUAAACAUGAUUUAGUUUUAUAACAUGAUAUCGUUGUAGCAGUUUGUAUUCAUUUUUAUAAUUAUUUUGUUGAUAUUUUAGGGUAAUUGCAAUACUUUUCUUAGAUGAUUAUUGUACCUUAAAAUCUCUUCCUGUUGCAACCCUAAUUGCUUUCUAAGAUUUUAUCCUUUAGGUUGUGAUCUGAUGGUGAUGGAGUUGUUGGUGCAUCAAGUGGAAAUAUGUUCCUGAAGGCAAGAUGCAGAAUGUGCAGGAAGAGGAGAGGGCACUGCAUUCAAGCACUUAGCAGCCUCCUGUCUCUGCUUGAUGAUGAUAAUGUGCUGUCUUCAAAAGAGUUCAGUUCAAAAGAAAAGGGCAGUCAUUCUGAGAGGCCUUCCACAUUUUCUCAGGGAGGAUUCAUCCAAACUUCUAA
Long non-coding RNA from Astyanax mexicanus (Mexican tetra), 415 nucleotides. RefSeq lists it as uncharacterized. The record is from RefSeq and is a predicted model, not a curated record. Lineage: Eukaryota; Metazoa; Chordata; Actinopteri; Characiformes; Acestrorhamphidae. The transcript has 3 exons.